UGUUUUCUCGCUAACCGGGAUAACUUUUUUCCAUAUGAAAUGGCCCUUAAUAAUGGUUUAAUAUUAUCUUGUGUUUUUUUCCAAAUCUUCUCUUGUGGCAAAGGAAACAUUCUCGUGACAUGAAUCAGCUCUGAUAGCCGCCUCGCGUACAAAAAACCUCUUCAAGUGCCCAGCUCCAGAUUAUGUAGAUCAGUUACUCUUGUUCUAUUCUAAGUUUUUGUAAGACAAUAGUAACUGGGCUGCUGUAA
This is a non-coding RNA of Paramuricea clavata, 248 nucleotides long. Lineage: Eukaryota; Metazoa; Cnidaria; Anthozoa; Malacalcyonacea; Plexauridae. The record is from the annotation of a GenBank genome assembly.